This 253-nucleotide ribosomal RNA is filed under the name uncultured bacterium. RNAcentral describes it as "partial 16S ribosomal RNA". It matches the Rfam family "Bacterial small subunit ribosomal RNA", at positions 524 to 776 of the family's 1533-position model. The record is from RNAcentral.
UACGUAGGGGGCAAGCGUUGUCCGGAAUUAUUGGGCGUAAAGAGCGCGUAGGCGGUCCGAUAAGUCGGCUGUGAAAGUCCAGGGCUCAACCCUGGAAAGCCGGCCGAUACUGUCGGACUAGAGUCCGGAAGAGGCAAGUGGAAUUCCCGGUGUAGCGGUGAAAUGCGCAGAUAUCGGGAGGAACAUCAGUGGCGAAGGCGACCUUCUGGGCCGCAACUGACGCUGAGGCACGAAAGCCUGGGGAGCGAACGGG